Long non-coding RNA from Alligator mississippiensis (American alligator), 1877 nucleotides. RefSeq lists it as uncharacterized. The record is from RefSeq and is a predicted model, not a curated record. NCBI's taxonomy places the organism in Eukaryota, Metazoa, Chordata, Crocodylia, Alligatoridae. The transcript is spliced from 2 exons.
GCAGCCGCGGGCGGAUCAUCCAGGAGGAGUGAGUGGUCCAGACCAGAAGCUGGGAGGUGGGUAUUAGAGCAUGCCUCCCUGCUCAGCUGGAGCAGACUGUUUGGGCCAAAGCAAGCCUGCCCACCCUGAGAGGGGGGUGGGUUUGCAGGGGAGGUGCAAAGCAUCCUGGGAUGCUGGGGGACUGUGAGCUAACUUGAAUCUGUAGGGGAUCUGGGACAGAAGUUCAAUAAACUGAUUUCACAUAAAUUAGUUGAGUCUGAUACGACAUCCAUCCAGGUUUACCUCAAACUAGUUUUGGCCAUUUUGAAAGCAAUUUAUGUGCACUGAACUUCUGGUGUGUUACAGAUUUGAACUGGCUUCUGAUCAUUUAUACCAGUUUAUGUGUGAUUUCUUUCCGUAGCCUAGGUAACCUGACUAAAAGUUUCAGGUAACCAGAUAUAUCCUCUCGAGUUGCAUGUGAAUAUUCUGCUCCCUUAGAUAACUCACUAACUAGCCAAUUUAUUUGUCCAUACAUACCACAGGUUUUCAUACCCUCUUAGGAUAUGGUAAAAGUACUGGGGUGUUGCUCUGUACCACAAGAACACAAGCACAGGAGUGCUAUUAAAGACAUGGCAAGAAAUCAUUAGUGUGUGGCACCUCAAUGCUUCCUGAUACAUCAUCACAAUCAAAACUUGUAACUGGAGGAGGCUUAACUGGGAGAACCGGACAUCCAGACAGAGCUUCCUCAGACUCAUUUAUAUACUGUUGUUGGAAUUGGUCUGUAUGUAAUUUGCAUGAAGUACCGGCAGGGAGUUGCUGCAUAAAUGAAACAUGCCACAUGCAUUUAGUGAGUUCUCCAGGCACCCAUUUUAUUCUACCAAUGUAAUUACAUGCCCAAACAAAGCCCUGUUUGAAAUGAGGAAUGGUAAAACACAUGCUGUCAAUCAAUCCAUCUACUUUGGGAUUUGUGUACCUGAUAGGCAACACCAGGAAGUAAAAGGCAAAAUGAACACACAAUAAUCUUUUCAAGAAAAGAGUAACAGGUGACUCCUGUGGGAUGGGGUGUGUUCUGAUAAAUGAGGAAGUUGUCCAAUUUAUGUUGAAGGCUUAAGGUAGGCUGGUUGGCAUACUUGAGGGUUUGCACAAAACAUUCAACUAGUCCAUUUGAAGCAGGAUGCUUAGGAGUAGAGUAUGGCAGCACGCUGUGGCAGAGGCUGCGUGGAUAGCUGGCAGCUGGGGCUGAGCCAUGCUGCCCCCCACCAUGCAGGGGGGCUGUGCCACAAGGCCAAGAGUGCAGCUGCUGUUGCUGGCUUAAUCGAACAAAGACAGAAAAUCAAGAAGCUGACGUGACCUCUACCAUGAGUCCUGAUUCCUUUUGCCUCUAGACCAAUACGGCUACAACCUGGGUACCUGACACAUGGAAGAUAUCGAAUUUUAGCUGAUUUUUUAAAUUAAAUCUUCAUAAUUGUACAAGGGGAUGCAAAUUUGACCACCUGAAAUCUGAGACCCUUCUGCUGUCUUUGUUCAAGGUAAUUUGCAUCAUCACAGAGCUCAGAGACACCUCACCACAUAAGAAAUGCCUACCCAGAAGAGCAUGCCAACUUUUUACUCCUCUGUGAAAUAUGAAACACCAUAACCAGAAGGAAAUACGACUACAUCCUGCUUACUACCAAACAACAUUGAGGUAAACAGACUAUUCCAACUUUUCUCUGAGCUUAAUGUGCAUAUAAAAUGAACUGGUCCAAACAGGAGAUUGUACCACACCUUCAACUCUUCUAUGAACUAUGAACUUUUAUUUCUACACAGGAGAACUUUUACAAUCUUUUCUCCUAUGCCUGAUGAAAGGUGUUUGUGCCUGAAAGCUUGCAAUUAAAGAAUUUUUUUUUUGCAAAAAUCUA